Cinara cedri is the source of this 425-nucleotide non-coding RNA. The record is from the annotation of a GenBank genome assembly. NCBI's taxonomy places the organism in Eukaryota, Metazoa, Arthropoda, Insecta, Hemiptera, Aphididae.
GUACAUGGGCCCGGAAUUCGAUGCGGGAGCCCCGCCGGCAGCUAUUAGGAUUCGCGGCUUCCACGGCCGACCGCUGUUGUUCGCAUCGGCAAUUGCGCGGGCGGAAACGAAUUUAUCAUCAUAUCCUUUAGACCGCCGGUUCUGUCGGCCUUUUCUGUAUACGACACUCUAAUUUAGAUCCAUAAAAACGACGACACGCCUAAAACAAUUAACGCGAUUAGAAUGACUCAUACAACGCUCGCAACACGGCGAUUACGACUGAGGACACGCUUACUUACGUACGAAUAAAAACAAUUUUCUUUUGACGACACUCAUCACAGUGGCGCGCGGCACAACAGUGCGUCGCGACGCGCCAGUUGAGAACCACUGCUUGGGACCUUCAGAUAUCAUCGGCCCGCGAUUGAGAGAUGUGGAUAAAAAUAGCG